Microdochium nivale is the source of this 104-nucleotide non-coding RNA. The record is from the annotation of a GenBank genome assembly. Lineage: Eukaryota; Fungi; Ascomycota; Sordariomycetes; Xylariales; Microdochiaceae.
GGCUCAGUGGUCUAGUCGUAUGAUUGCUGCUUCGGGUGGUCUAACAUCCAAUUCCUCCAAAAGGAAGUUGUAGCAGGUCCCGGGUUCAAAUCCCGGCUGAGCCC